AUUGAACGCUGGCGGCAGGCCUAACACAUGCAAGUCGAGCGGAGCGGCGGACGGGUGAGUAAUGCCUAGGAAUCAGCCUGGUAGUGGGGGAUAACGUCCGGAGACGGGCGCUAAUACCGCAUACUAUCAGAUGAGCCUAGGGCGGAUUAGCUAGUUGGUGGGGUAAAGGCCUACCAAGGCGACGAUCCGUAGCUGGUCUGAGAGGAUGAUCAGUCACACUGGAACUGAGACACGGUCCAGACGCCUACGGGAGGCAGCAGUGGGGAAUAUUGGACAAUGGGCGAAAGUCUGAUCCAGCCAUGCCGCGUGUGUGAAGAAGGUCUUCGGAUUGUAAAGCACUUUAAGUUGGGAGGCGUUACCAACAGAAUAAGCACCGGCUAACUUCGUGCCAGCAGCCGCGGUAAUUC
This 407-nucleotide ribosomal RNA is filed under the name uncultured bacterium. Its description in RNAcentral is "partial 16S ribosomal RNA". It matches the Rfam family "Bacterial small subunit ribosomal RNA", at positions 30 to 526 of the family's 1533-position model. The record is from RNAcentral.